RNAcentral lists this RNase P RNA (270 nucleotides) under Salmonella enterica subsp. enterica serovar Enteritidis. Its description in RNAcentral is "partial RNase P RNA component class A". It matches the Rfam family "Bacterial RNase P class A", at positions 92 to 367 of the family's 367-position model. Rfam says of the family: Ribonuclease P (RNase P) is a ubiquitous endoribonuclease, found in archaea, bacteria and eukarya as well as chloroplasts and mitochondria. Its best characterised activity is the generation of mature 5'-ends of tRNAs by cleaving the 5'-leader elements of precursor-tRNAs. The record is from RNAcentral. Lineage: Bacteria; Pseudomonadati; Pseudomonadota; Gammaproteobacteria; Enterobacterales; Enterobacteriaceae.
GGGGAAACCUACGACCAGUGCAACAGAGAGCAAACCGCCGAUGGCCCACGCAAGUGGGAUCAGGUAAGGGUGAAAGGGUGCGGUAAGAGCGCACCGCGCGGCUGGUAACAGUCCGUGGCACGGUAAACUCCACCCGGAGCAAGGCCAAAUAGGGGUUCAUAAGGUACGGCCCGUACUGAACCCGGGUAGGCUGCUUGAGCCAGUGAGCGAUUGCUGGCCUAGAUGAAUGACUGUCCACGACAGAACCCGGCUUAUCGGUCAGUUUCACCU